CUGCCAUGGACGACUGAUUUGGAAGGUUGCUCAAAGUUUUACGCCAGAAGUGUAGCAGAAGCAGAGGAGAAGAAUAUAUUAUUUUGGCUUGAUUGAGAAAUGAUUAUUCGAGCCGUUAUACUACUUUUAGAAGCCUGCUCGUAGUAUUUCAACGAUUACCCCGAGUUCGAGCUCUUUUACACGGCAAACCUAGCUCCUAUAGGGAUUUUCAGGAAAAAAUUCCCUACAUGUGCCACCACAAGAAGUAGUUUAAGGGAAUCGAAUUAUCAACCACACGCCCCACAUGGGUAUAAAACCCGGUGCAUCAACCCAACUAGGCUGGACAUCACUUGCUGCAUUGAUAAUUAGUUACGAGCAGGUAGAUGGGGUGGAUGUUGGAGUUUAAUUGUCAAUCUGUCUAAAAAGUUAUUUUUAGGUUUUUAUGAAUUUUUCCAAUGUAGUAUUUAUUCAAAUGGUCUUGGUCUUUACUCUUUAGACAACUCAAAUCAUUAUUAAAACUCCUCAUUUCGAAAAUAUUGUGAUUAUUUUAGCCUUCUCCAAACUAAUGAGGUAUGGAGAUGGAAUAAGAUUGACUCUAGGAAAUUAAAUGUGCUUGCUUGGUGUAUUAAACAAGGAAGAUACCUUACAAUGUCUAAUCUCCUCAAAACUGACAUUGGAUCUAGCUCUACAUGCAAAUUUUGUAGCGUGGUUGUUGAAGACGAAGAUCAUAAUUUUUGUAGCUUUUUAUGGCAAUUCUUAUGGGAAGAAAUUAGAAAAUGGUGGCAUUGCUUGGGUCCUCUUCCCCCGUCUUCUAGUGAGCUAAUUGAGCUGCAAAACGCAAUUUGGAGGCCCUUCUGCCAGUGUUGAGGUCCACGAAGCUUGCACGAAUUUGGCGAGAAAAGUUUAGAUUUUGGCAUAUCUUUGGAUCAAUGUUAGGAAGAAGAAAGGUAGAGAGUUGAUCGGGAAGGAUUGGAUUGAUGAUCCAGUUUUGGAAAGUUUGAAAAGUUUCGUUUAACUUUUUUCUA
Molecule: non-coding RNA, 1004 nt
Organism: Lactuca sativa (garden lettuce)
Lineage: Eukaryota; Viridiplantae; Streptophyta; Magnoliopsida; Asterales; Asteraceae
Source: RefSeq, a predicted model, not a curated record